This 201-nucleotide ribosomal RNA is filed under the name uncultured bacterium. Its description in RNAcentral is "partial 16S ribosomal RNA". It matches the Rfam family "Bacterial small subunit ribosomal RNA", at positions 1303 to 1500 of the family's 1533-position model. The record is from RNAcentral.
GUCUGCAACCCGACUCCAUGAAGCUGGAUUCGCUAGUAAUCGCGCAUCAGCCACGGCGCGGUGAAUACGUUCCCGGGCCUUGUACACACCGCCCGUCACACCAUGGGAGUCGGAAAUGCCCGAAGUCUGUGACCCAACCUGAGAGGGAGGGAGCGGCCGAAGGCAGGUCUGAUGACUGGGGUGAAGUCGUAACAAGGUAGC